UAUAUACACACACACAUGUAUAUAAGCUUAUAUACAUAUAUAAGCUUACACACACACACCCAUAUUCUUCAUAUUCAGAGAAGACACCACUGAGGGAGAAAGUCACACAUGACUCUGUGUGUGGCCGUAAAGACCAGAGUGGGACCCACAAUCCCGGUCAUAUUGUAUGCACAAAAAGGUUGUCCCUUUUGUGUUGUCAUACUUUUUGUGUGUAGCACCUGGUGCUGUAGAUAUAACUAUAAAUACACAGUAUCCCACUUAAAAAAAGUGACUGAACAAAACAUUUAAAGUAAAUAGCUUUUAAAAGUAUUCUAGGGGUCUAUUUCACUUGCUAAAUAUCUAAGCAGAAAACAACAUUCCAAGAAUAGGGGGAAAAAUGUAUUGCUCAAGGGAAAGACUUUGAUUUGUAGCAUUUUGAACAACAGUAAGACUGCCACUGGUAUAUAGAUCUGUUCAAAGACAACAAUGGAGAAAAAGCCAUGGUACAAACCUGAUUCCCCACCCGUUGUUGCCUUGAAACCGCUGUCAGAACAAAGGAGAAGGUGAUGUAGAAAGGAGAGGCUCACAGAUCCCUUCAUUCUACUUGAAGGAAAAAAACCUUACUCUGCAGAGUCAAUUAAAAAAAUAAGCAGGAGAAAAUAGAAAAUAAGUUCUAUUUGGGGACAUUGGGAAAAUGUAAUAUGCAACUCUGCACUGCAUACUUUUAAUCCUUAAAAAUUGAAGUGUUCAGCAAGAGGCUCACUGCAAUAGCUGCAGUGUUUAGUUAAACUUACAGUCAUGCACAAAUAUUGCAUAUUUUACAUAAGCUUAACUUAUAGUCCAGUAAAAAUAAUAGAAUAUGGAGUCUAGUUCUUCUCUGCCCACUCAUGGGAGUCUAACUUCAGAGGGUUUAGGAGAGGGAAUGCAUUAUAAACAGCAAUUUUUGAGGGACAGAAAAGCCCGAUAAAGCAGGGGCUGCUUUGAGACUGAAGUCAAAUGGGACCUACUCUCAGACAACGCUCACAAGCGUAACACUGGAAUUUUAAUGAUUGUUGUUUAAAUUGUUUGUAUGCAGAGGUAAGCCAAGCCAAAAUCUUGUAGAAGACUACAGUUUUCCACAAUAGGUGAAUAGUGAAGGUGGCUGAAAUAGACGCUGUUGCUCUGAAAAUCAAAGUAAUUCACAAACAAGACAGAGCUUGGGAUGAAACCACUCUCCCACCACACAAAAUGAGAAAUGCAAUAAGAAGAAUUUACAAAAAGGACCUAGAUAAAUCACUGUAGGUCUUGAGGGUCAAAGGUUAAGUCAUACAUUUCUCAAAUGCCCAACAGGCAAGUCAGUCUUCUCAGGUCCUUCAAGUGGCAAUUCUGCAAAUAUUAAAACAAGGAUUCCUAAUUAACUUACUUAGAUGUUCAGAACACAAUGAUCUAAAUCAUUAACAUAAUGGGUAUGAUCCAUGCUUGGUAAACUAGCAUUUUCUUUUGGGCUAUCCUUAGUACAUACCUCUCAAUCAAGUCUACCUCAAAUUACCAGAUAUCACAUAUGGGUAAUAGAAAGAGCAUGGAUAUUUGAAAUCUAUAGCUAAUUCCCAAAACAACCAAAAAGAUUAGGGUGCUGCAGUCUGGGAAGACAAAGGUGGAAAGGGGGCAGGAUUGAAGCUUAAAAUUCAGGAAAGGUGUGGGCAGGGCAGAAUAGGAAACUGUUAUUUACCAAAUCCUAUGCCACCAGGACAAGAGCACGCCCAUGGAAGAUCAACGAUGGGAGCUUCAAAACAAAAAGAAACAGUUCUUUUCACAAAGUUCAACUACCAGAUACAGAGCCAAAGAGCAAUAAACCUCACAACUGUGCAAAGAAAACAUCAACAGGAAAUGAAAUGAGGUAUAAAUACAGACACUGAAGUCUGAGUUUCCUUUGGGUUAUGUGCAUUAAAUAUACCUUCUAAUUUCUAUAAAGCUUAUGAAAAUUUCAAGGACAGUCUAACCAAGUGCUCAAGUCUUAACAGGUGAUUUGCCCAUGGGGUUGGGAAAUCAUAUUCUGUUCUGAAUAUGGCAUGUUCCUAACUCACAUUUGCGGAGGUAUGCGAGGGGAUAAGUAAGCUAGAAAGAAUAAUAUAUCAAAAGGUGAGUUUCACGCCAGAUCUGGCAAUCACUCACCUGCUCAUCUUGGUACCCCGCUUUCCGCUCAGCAGCGGCUCCCUAACUACCACCUGGAAGAAUCCAGCUCGGUCGUCACUCUUCGGACAGUGGCGUCUCCGACUUCAUCUUUAUUCCCAUCCUGCACUCUAUCUUCCAAUUUCAAGCCUUGAGCUGACUGUUCCAGCACCACUCUGAAUGUCAAAUCCAUCUAGCCGCUGCCUCAGUUCUUUGCUACCUGACCCCUUAAUUCACUGUCCAGAGGGCAAGAGAAUUCGAUUUAACGGUGCGUGGCUAAGGGAGAUAGGGAGAGAUACUGAAAUAAUAGCCGGAGGGUGGAUGGAAGAGAGACCGUUAUUCCUCAAGUCAGAAAGGCGCCAGGGUCUGCUUAUUGGAAAUGAAACGUCAUUGUUUUUCCUUACCUAAACCAGUGCAAAACUUGCCCCCUUAGAAUGUGUCAGAAAAGUUAUCGCCUCCUGUAGAUAAAUCUUUUUCUGUUAUCUCCUAAUGCUCUCAUUAGCAAAGUUUCUCAUUCUAUUGCUAUUCGUGCCAUCUCAAUAACGUAUAAAACACUAAUACCUCGCUGCUUUGAUCUGCAUUGCUUUUGCUGGAGAAAUCAUUAAUACUGAAACUACCAAGUCGCAAAAAUAUAUGCAUUCAAUAUUCUCACUGUCAGAGUUUAAGAUAGAAUUCCAUGCCUGAAGACAGAAGUCAAAAUUGAAAUAAAACGUACACAAAUAUAUGCAUGGUUGAGCCCGGUUAAGUGAAGAGAUUUCUCUAGCAGUAGCGAUGGAAAUGGAUUUAUCCAUCGCAAUAGGGGACGAAAGAGCUCGAAGUAGACAAAUAGGUUCCCCAUUUUCUUUAGAAUUUAUUUUACAUUUUAUAUCUUUCCAAUGAAAAACUUCCUCUUCUCUAUGUAAAUGUUCUCUAGUGGGUCUUGUGGCAACAGGAGAUCAUUACAAAGUACAGAUCACUUUUGGAGUGGAGUUCGGUUCUGCACCGAGCACAUUUGAACAUAUAUAAAAAAAACCCCAAGUCAUAUAAGUUUUCCUGAUCCUGACCACUGUGGAAUUUGAACAGGAAUCCUCAAAAAGCAGAGGGGAAUUGGAGAUUAACUCUAGACUGCUCUUCCCACCAAAAUGACAGAUUUAAUUUUUUCGUUAUCAUAGGCUUUUUAAAUGACUGAAAAGAUCAAAAUAUUCAGAUUAAAUAAAGAACUACGAACAAGAGACCGAAAGUUGAGGUCAGAAAAAUCAGGGGCAAGGUAUUAUGACAGAUUUUUUUCAGAUCACAAACUGUUGGAUAGCAGAAUGGAUGGGUUCUAAGCACAAGCCUGAUUUUCCUUUUCCCUAUCAGAUGACUUAAGCCUUCCAAUGACUAAACAACGUUUCCUUCUACUCUGUACUCACUCUUGUCCAUUAGCCACACCAUCACUCAGAAACCCAACGCAGGCCCUCUCUGCUUCUAAAAGAUGUGGCCUGGAGGCAAACCUAAAAGAAUAUUUGACAACAAUUGAUUUUUUUUUUUUUUAACAUCUUUGCAUUUCUUAAGGCAUGGACAAUGUCAUAUGAAUGGAUUAGGAUUCCAAAGAGCACGAGACAUCUUUUGGGCAAGGCCAGUGCAAACACAUCAAUCACAUCAAGGGACAGACAAACCGCAAGCCAAACUGACCAACUGUUCAACACGCAGGAGGUUUUAUCCAAGCCUCAUCUCUCCUGGGCAAGUGAUUGCACUGAGACGUUUCCGCACAGAUACACUUUAACGCUCCCCGUCGGCUUUAAAGCGCGAGUUUCCAAUUCGCUUUUCUCUACCGAUUCUUCUGACUUUGGAUUAUUUGGAUUGGUUCCUUUGACUCUGCAUUCCCAGCUCGAGGACCACUUUAAGGAAUAUGGCUGCAGCACAAACAGAAGGAUCCAGGAGUGGGGAGGGACCUGGCCUAAUGCACUUUUGAAAAUCCAUUAUAAAGAUGAAUAUAAAAGCAAAUGGUAGGUUUUCUGGAGACCCACAAACCACAUUUAGCUAUAAGAAACAUAAUUGUGCAUAGUUAUUCGUUCGAAGAGUGAUAUGUUUACUAGGUCUACAUUCGCAGUUUACCAAAGCACAGGGCUUUCUACUUUACUAAAGCCGGGCUCCUUCCGCAGCCCCCAGUACGUGUCAUUGGAAACCCAAGCUUCUCUUUGAUUGGCGUCGGUGACUUUUCUGUCAAAAUAUGAAAAUAAACAUUAGGG
Long non-coding RNA from Ornithorhynchus anatinus (platypus), 4337 nucleotides. RefSeq lists it as uncharacterized. Lineage: Eukaryota; Metazoa; Chordata; Mammalia; Monotremata; Ornithorhynchidae. The record is from RefSeq and is a predicted model, not a curated record. The transcript has 2 exons.